AACGAACGCUGGCGGCAUGCCUAACACAUGCAAGUCGAACGAGACCUUCGGGUCUAGUGGCGCACGGGUGCGUAACGCGUGGGAACCUGCCCUUAGGUUCGGAAUAACUCCCCGAAAGGGGUGCUAAUACCGGAUAAUGUCUUCGGACCAAAGAUUUAUCGCCUUUGGAUGGGCCCGCGUUGGAUUAGCUAGUUGGUAGGGUAAAAGCCUACCAAGGCGACGAUCCAUAGCUGGUCUGAGAGGAUGAUCAGCCACACUGGGACUGAGACACGGCCCAGACUCCUACGGGAGGCAGCAGUGGGGAAUAUUGGACAAUGGGCGAAAGUCUGAUCCAGCAAUGCCGCGUGAGUGAUGAAGGCCUUAGGGUUGUAAAGCUCUUUUACCCGGGAUGAUAAUGACAGUACCGGGAGAAUAAGCGCCGGCUAACUCCGUG
This 433-nucleotide ribosomal RNA is filed under the name uncultured bacterium. Its description in RNAcentral is "partial 16S ribosomal RNA". It matches the Rfam family "Bacterial small subunit ribosomal RNA", at positions 29 to 507 of the family's 1533-position model. The record is from RNAcentral.